Non-coding RNA from Pelodiscus sinensis (Chinese soft-shelled turtle), 433 nucleotides. The record is from RefSeq and is a predicted model, not a curated record. NCBI's taxonomy places the organism in Eukaryota, Metazoa, Chordata, Testudines, Trionychidae.
AAAGGCCUUCAAUAAUAUUUAACAGGUGUCACCCCUAUUUGAUGGAGUCUGGUUGCUGCUCUCUAGAGCUGAGUACAUGGCACAUGAAGCGGAAGACAUUGUCUGCACUUAGGCUGUGAUCAAGCCACAGGAAUUUCUGAAACCAAUGAGGCUAAAAUUUCCACUGAUGGAUUCCAAAUGUUCAGAGAGCUGCACUGUCGAUUGUGGCACAAAUUUGAGAGAGUCAAGUAGUGCAUGGAGGAAAUGGCUGUGGAAGAAACUCUAGUUGAGAAGGAAAAUUGUUCAAGGUAAAAGUGGAAAGGACAAUGAGUGAUGGGAAGCUAUCAAGAAACCAGCAGUGAAGAUGAACAUCUGGUAGGGCAAUCUAAUUUUUUAUGUGAACCUAACACAAAGAUGGAAAUAGAAAAAGUAGGAUUCUAGAGUGUAAUUGGAU